GUUUGCAGGCACUGGGAUGCGGGACCCUCACCCACGAGCUUCGCCAUCCGGAUCUGCUUCCCCCGGAGCUCGCCUUCACAGUAAAGAACGUAGUGGUCCAUCACGUUCGACGGCGAGAUGUGCACCACGCGCCUGCCCUCGUCUGCGGAAGGACGGUGGCACGAGCUGAAUAAGCCAUGUGACCCUCCAGGAAGACCUGGAGCUCGCCCAGCGCCCAGCCUGGUGGACCCUCCAGUUUCCACAUGCUCCCAGCUGCUCAGGCCGUGAGGUCUCCACCUCUUGAGGACCCAACACACCGGGAGAGCCCCAUACCAGAAAGAGGGUCACAUCCCCAACCAACGGACCACAGAGAGGUUUCGGGGCAUGGAGUUGGAGCAGGUCGGAGUGUGGGGUGCUCAGUCCCCAACAACCAGAUACGACUCUGCUCCUCGCCCCUGACGUGGGCACAGCCAUAACCCAGCGGGGCCCCUGGGCGGUCCAGUCCCUCCUGGGACAAUGUGUCCCUCCUGGCUCUUAGUGUCAAGUGAUCAUAUCUUCAGGGCAAACUGACCAGAGGGAGGAGAGGGUGUACAUUUAAUGGGGUCAGAAAGGAGCGGGGCUUCUCAGGCUAAAAUGCCUCCCCAGAAAUGCGCAGGCUGCCCCCGGCUCCCCCAGUGUGUGGGGCACCACCCGGCUGGGGCUCCAAGACUCACCGGCCGUGUAUUUGCCGGGCUCAUUGGUUUUCUCCAGCACCAGUUUCGUCUCCUGGCACUGACCCCUCACCCUGGAACACAGAAGCCAUGUGGUGAUGCUGCCGUGGGUGUACCCACUUUGGAAACACAGCCAGCCCCGGUUGCCCCCCUCCAGGACCGUGAGGAUCAUGGGAGUCACCAACUCAGGCUUCUCCCCGGGAAUCUCCUGGUCAGCGGUCACGGCCUUCAGAUACCAUUUCCCUGAGACCUGGGGAUGUUCCCCCCAUCAGGGCUCCGGCCGACCCCACGGCCUCCCCCUCCCGCUCUGCAGCCCCAGACUCUACCCCACCCCCAGGGCUGGGGGCUUGGAGCGCUUCCCAGCC
Molecule: long non-coding RNA, 1054 nt
Filed under: Equus caballus (horse)
Lineage: Eukaryota; Metazoa; Chordata; Mammalia; Perissodactyla; Equidae
Description: lncRNA (ENSECAG00000055593.1)
Source: RNAcentral